CCUACGGGAGGCAGCAGUGGGGAGUAUUGGACAAUGGGGGCAACCCUGAUCCAGCAAUGCCGCGUGAGUGAUGAAGGCCCUAGGGUUGUAAAGCUCUUUCGGCGGGGAAGAUGAUGACGGUACCCGCAGAAGAAGCCCCGGCUAACUUCGUGCCAGCAGCCGCGGUAAU
This 169-nucleotide ribosomal RNA is filed under the name uncultured soil bacterium. Its description in RNAcentral is "partial 16S ribosomal RNA". It matches the Rfam family "Bacterial small subunit ribosomal RNA", at positions 338 to 524 of the family's 1533-position model. The record is from RNAcentral.